GUUCAAGUUAAGUCAGUUUAGAGUUACUUCCCAUUUGAAUUUGUCCAUUUAAGAUAUUGUUUCGUUAAAAUGUGCAACGUAAAAAAAGUAUUGAUCUUUUUAUUCUUCCUGGUGAUUGCCAUCAUGGCCAGGCCACAGUCCGAUGAACCUCACUCCCACGAACACACGGACGAACACUACGACCCCCAUUUGAACAGGGACAUCGGCCAUUACGAACGCGAAAUUUUGCACCAGCAAAGACAUCUCAACCAUAAACAACAGAAACAGCACGGCCAUUUCAAUACACACUUCAACCACAACGGACAAUAUCUGCCCCACCAUCACGGAGGACAUUAAUCAAGAAAUUUUAGUAUAAAUAUCAAUAGUUCCCAACCGAUUCAUCAUGUGUUUCUAUAAUAGUUGAUUAGCAGCUUCCACUUCAGCAUGAUUAAAUUACUUAUUUUUGUAAUCUUUUCACUUAUUGCUACAAUAAUGGCGCUUCCUGAGGCUCUUCCAGAGGCCAUUCCGGGAGCUCUUGCUGGCUACUAUGGCAGACGUGGACACUGGCAUGGCCAUGGUCAUCAUGGACAUUGGCACGGUCAUGGUCAUGGUCAUUGGCAUGGCCAUGGUCAUGGACACUGGCAUCGCCGUGGUCAUCAUUAUGGAUAAUUUUCCAUUAUGCUACACAUACACAAUUUACUUAUUACAAAUUUUAUAUAUGGCUUAAAUAAAGUAUUAUGAUUAUAAUCAAAAUACAUAUACGUAUGAUAGUUAAUUAAACUGGGUUAAAGUUAAAA
Long non-coding RNA from Aethina tumida (small hive beetle), 776 nucleotides. RefSeq lists it as uncharacterized. The transcript is spliced from 4 exons. The record is from RefSeq and is a predicted model, not a curated record. Lineage: Eukaryota; Metazoa; Arthropoda; Insecta; Coleoptera; Nitidulidae.